Molecule: ribosomal RNA, 381 nt
Filed under: Diadesmis confervacea
Lineage: Eukaryota; Bacillariophyta; Bacillariophyceae; Diadesmidales; Diadesmidaceae
Description: bacterial SSU rRNA
Rfam family: Eukaryotic small subunit ribosomal RNA
Source: RNAcentral
AUUCCAGCUCCAAUAGCGUAUAUUAAAGUUGUUGCAGUUAAAAAGCUCGUAGUUGGAUUUGUGUGUUGUCGUGGUGGUCGGAGCAAUCCGGCUGUUCCGCGCGGGUGCAUGCUUGGGUGGAAUCUGUGUGGCAUUAGGUUGUCGUGCAGGGGAGGCCCAUCUUUUACUGUGAGGAAAUUAGAGUGUUCAAAGCAGGCUUACGCCGUUGAAUAUAUUAGCAUGGAAUAAUGAGAUAGGACCUUGGUACUAUUUUGUUGGUUUGCGCACCGAGGUAAUGAUUAAUAGGGACAGUUGGGGGUAUUCGUAUUCCAUUGUCAGAGGUGAAAUUCUUGGAUUUUUGGAAGACGAACUACUGCGAAAGCAUUUACCAAGGAUGUUUUC